Non-coding RNA from Coffea arabica (coffee), 199 nucleotides. The record is from RefSeq and is a predicted model, not a curated record. Lineage: Eukaryota; Viridiplantae; Streptophyta; Magnoliopsida; Gentianales; Rubiaceae.
GGCGAUUGGUGUAGAAAUUUACACGGGGUCAAAAAGAAAUUGAAACCACAGAAAGCUCUCAAAGAAUAUGAGCUGCCCAAUGCUUGAAGUUGUGUAAGGAGCAACUACUUUGCUGAAAAUCAGGUGUUGUAGAUUGUACACCGAAGUUUGAAGAUGCAUAAGGAGCAAACAAGCUGUUUCAUUUACCAGAUUACAAACA